Molecule: ribosomal RNA, 496 nt
Filed under: uncultured microorganism
Description: bacterial SSU rRNA
Rfam family: Archaeal small subunit ribosomal RNA
Source: RNAcentral
UGUUGGGGUAACGGCCCAACAAGCCUUUGAUCGGUACGGGUUGUGGGAGCAAGAGCCCGGAGAUGGAUUCUGAGACAUGAAUCCAGGCCCUACGGGGCGCAGCAGGCGCGAAAACUUUACAAUGCGAGCAAUCGUGAUAAGGAAACCCUGAGUGCCUGUCAAUGCAGGCUGUUCUGGUGUCUAACACACACCAGGAGAAAGGGCGGGGCAAGACCGGUGCCAGCCGCCGCGGUAAUACCGGCUGCUCGAGUGAUAGCCACUUUUACUGGGCUUAAAGCGUUCGUAGCUUGGUCGUUAAGUCUCUGGGGAAAUCUUUUGGCUUAACCAAAAGGCGUCUCAGGGAAACUGGCGAUCUUGGAACCGGGAGAGGUAAGACGUACUUCGGGGGUAGGAGUGAAAUCUUGUAAUCCCCGAGGGACGACCGAUGGCGAAGGCAUCUUACCAGAACGGCUUCGACAGUGAGGGACGAAAGCUGGGGGAGCAAACCGGAUUAGAU